RNAcentral lists this ribosomal RNA (417 nucleotides) under uncultured bacterium. RNAcentral describes it as "bacterial SSU rRNA". It matches the Rfam family "Bacterial small subunit ribosomal RNA", at positions 30 to 444 of the family's 1533-position model. The record is from RNAcentral.
AUUGAACGCUGGCGGAAUGCUUUACACAUGCAAGUCGAACGGCAGCACGGGAGCUUGCUCCUGGUGGCGAGUGGCGAACGGGUGAGUAACAUAUCGGAACGUACCCAGUCGUGGGGGAUAACUAUCCGAAAGGAUAGCUAAUACCGCAUACGUCCUGAGGGAGAAAGCGGGGGAUCGCAAGACCUCGCGCGAUUGGAGCGGCCGAUAUCGGAUUAGCUAGUUGGUGGGGUAAAGGCUCACCAAGGCGACGAUCCGUAGCGGGUCUGAGAGGACGACCCGCCACACUGGAACUGAGACACGGUCCAGACUCCUACGGGAGGCAGCAGUGGGGAAUUUUGGACAAUGGGGGGCAACCCUGAUCCAGCCAUUCCGCGUGAGUGAAGAAGGCCUUCGGGUUGUAAAGCUCUUUCUAGCAGG